CUCAGACAAAACCGUUGGACCAUUAAAGGGUAAUUUAACGGUUGGCACCAAGUAAGCUAGGCUACAUGAGUUACCCUUGCAAUUAACCGUCAAAAUCAAAAGUUUUCGCAUGAGUCGUCCUCAUAGCUCCAACCCCGUGGAAUAUCGCCCCACACAGUCAAGCUUGCUAAUGUACCUGCUGCUACACCCCAUCCCAAUAUCCCUCUCUCUGUUCCUGCCGGGCGGUAGUCUCACCAGCCUGCGACCCCGGACAAGUUCCCUCAACCUGCCUGUGAACUCUGCUGCCUUCAACCUGCUUCAUCUGUGAUCCACCAGUCACGCCAUCCCCCCCUAACUGGGUACACACACAAACAACACACACACAAAAAAACUGAAGCUUAUUGAUGUGUGCUAUGGAGAAGA
Cheilinus undulatus (humphead wrasse) is the source of this 402-nucleotide long non-coding RNA. RefSeq lists it as uncharacterized. Lineage: Eukaryota; Metazoa; Chordata; Actinopteri; Labriformes; Labridae. The record is from RefSeq and is a predicted model, not a curated record. The transcript has 4 exons.